GAGGAAGGAGAAUUCAGAAUGUUUCGACUGCUGACUUUUGAUCACGUUGAGUUCAAGUAACUUUGUUGAUGUAAGAAGAUUAUAAAAAUAAAACCUCAUGCAUAAGGUAAUUUUCACUUUGUUAUAAAAACAAUAAUUGCUCUAAAGCAGUUGAAUCAUGGAAUAUCUUUGGCGAAUAGAUUAUAAACCCAAAAUCAUCUCAAUAAACAAAUCCAAAAACCAGAUUUUUUUUUCGGUGAUGUCAUUACCUCCUAAGAUAGUAA
This 263-nucleotide unclassified non-coding RNA is filed under the name Hevea brasiliensis (rubber tree). Lineage: Eukaryota; Viridiplantae; Streptophyta; Magnoliopsida; Malpighiales; Euphorbiaceae. The record is from RNAcentral.